CAUUAUACUAGAAGUAAUCAUAUGCAUGGUGCAUUACUGUAAUCCACUUUUUCUUAUUUUCCAGAUAAUGAUUGCCUCUGUGAUACAAUAAUAUAAUACCAUCACUACAUUCAAUUUUUUUUCAGCCAAAUGCAUUUAAUUCUGGUAAUGAUAAAAAAAUCAAUGCAUCAUUAUAUCUAUAAGACUAUCAUACUGAGCAAGAAGAAUAUAGCAUUAUACAUUUUAUAUAUUUUAAUUUGGAAAAAUUUAAGGUACCCAUUGCAUAUAUAUAUUACCUGGAUUUGUAAUAGGCAAGUAAAAGAUAAGGGGGGGAAAUUUGUCAUUCCAAAGUUAAGUCCUUGAUGAUAUGUUUUUCCAGAUGUGUGUGUGUGUAAGAAAAAAAAUCAACACAAAAUAGAAAAGGACAUGUUCCAGAUACGACCAAAAAUAAUAUUGAAAUUGUUUAUAAUGUUCUCUUGGAGAACUCUUUUCCUUAGGAAUGAUGGAUUCUAAGGGAAAUGAAUUAGUGUAUCUCUAAAUAGCAUUUGUUUGUUUUAUCUAUGAAAAUUUCCAAAAAAUAAUUUUGUAGAAGUUGGAGAGUUGGAAAUACCUGAAUGUAAUUUUUUUUAAUCUUAGAAAUUAUUGAGAAUGUUGCUUAACUCCAUGAUUCUCAGUUUUUAACUAAAAUAUGCAUUAUACUCCUCCAUAUUAUUGUGUGGAUUAAAGGAUAAAAGUUAAAGCAACUAGCAUAAGUACCCAGUACACCUCAUUCUCUUUCUUUCUUGUCCCACUGCCUUUCAGAAGACCAUUUGCCAUUAUUUUCAGAGAUUUCAUAUGUGUUAGGACGGUUAUUUUCUUAUAGCUUUUAAAAUAAGGACAUUAAUAAGUUUUUAAUUCUAUUGAAUUAUACCUUCAUUUCUAGAAGGUAGAAAAGCCUACUGAUUAAAAAAAAAAUCUAAGUUAAAUAUGUUAAAUAUAUCAAUUAUCCCUGAAAUUCAGUUAAGCAACUGAAUUUUCUAUUUUUCUUUUAAAUGAGUAAUAUGAACUACAUGACAAAGAAUUUUUGUCUCUGUUUUUUGUUGUUAUAUCCCCAGGGCUAGAAAAACACCCAAGACAUAUGCACUCAAGGAAUAUUUGUGGGAUUGAAAAUACAAUGACUUUUGAGUUGUUACCCAUUUUCCUCAAUCCAUUUUAAUUGGAAAUAACUAUCUUGAUUUGAUUUUAUUAAAAAUAGACAAUUCAGCAUUUUCAAUAAUAAUGUUCAAUUAUUUUCAUUUUAACUUAAAGUACAAAACUGAAAAAGUAAUAUAUAUGCUAGAAACUCAAUAAAUGUCUCAGUCUCAUCAUUUUUGGAAAUAUCAAGCAUUCUUAUUUAUUCAAACUAUUUGGAAAAGAAUAACAUAUACUGUCAUGCAAAUAUGAAAGGAAUGAUAACAUAAAGUCAACAAGUUUUAUCCUAGAAAAGAUUUUUAAUAGCAAUUUGCAAAAUUGAGUGCUUAGUAUAACUCUUGUUCAAAAGAACAGAAUACAACUGUGGAUUCUGGUCUCAGGUAAACAUUCCAUCUGGUGGAACUGAAAGACUUGAAGUUUGUGAUUAUGUCACUAUGCUCUUAUUCUGUAGCUAAUUUUCUAAAUACAUAUACAUUAAUUUAAACAUAUAUAUAUAUAUAAAUUUUCUUUUAAUCUUCCACAAUUAAAAAAAAGAGUUCUACAGAACAAAAGGAAGACAAGAGCUACCAUCUGGAGAGAAAAGUUUUAGAUACAUCAUCAAAGACAGUGAACCCUGGAAGAUCUUGAACUAUUAUUCUUUAAUUUUUAAUCAUGAAAAUACUUGCUAGGAAAAGAGACUGUCUAAAUAGCAGCCACUUUUAUAUUCAGAUAUUUGCCAUCUAAAGUAAUUGGAUGUCAGAUGAGGAACUGCCUGUCAUAUUUUACUAUUAAAAUAAUACAUUUUUGUGCAUAACCAGACAUGCCUUAGUGAGUUACUGUAGCCUGUGGUCUCCCUGAGAUUUUCCAAUGGGAUUUUAAUAAUACUUUUAUGUUUGCCAUCUUAAGCAGUACAGGCUGUUAAACUCAAUUUGUAAGAAAAAUAUUCAGGUAUAAAACCAGAUAAUCUGUAUCCCUUUGGAAUCAAAAGUCACUUUGCCAAAAUAUUUUAACACGCGAAAUUGCUUCUUGAGAGAUGUUUGCCAUGAUAAAAUGACAGAAAACUACAUUUCCAUUAUAAUUAUAACUGACUCAUGGUGCUAAGUUUUUAUAAUUUAAAGGUAUUCUCAACUCUGACAGCCCUUCCAUGUUGAAUUAUGCAUCUCAGGCUCUUAAAUAGUUCUGCUGGCACAAGACAGCUGAGAUGAAGUUGUCUUUCUAAAAUAAUUGCUCCAUGGAGCAUCCAUUAUACCUUCAGAAAAAAUGUAUUACUUGACUUCUACAAAUUAUAGACUAGCCUAUAAUGGGUAUUUUUGACAGCUAUUAGCUUAAAAAAAAUCCGAACAGUAAAAUGAGUAUUGAUAUCACAAUGGUGUGCUGUGCAUGUUAAUAUCAACCUUCUCUGUACUUUCCUUCUAAAGCAUGAUGUAAUCAUUAAUUAUAAUAAUAUUGAUGUAACUGAACUCAUGCUAAAAAUACAGUAUUGGCAAACUAUGUCAUUUUCUCACCUAUGAGACAAAAAGCAUUAACUGAAUACUUACAGUACGUAUUGAAGGCACCAUCCAAGUUUAAAAGGUAAAAAAUGAGAAAUCACUUGGGUGAUUUUUUUUUUUGAAUCAUCAAAUUACUGGGUAUAUUUUAAAAAUUAUGAAUGAGAAAAUAAUCAGAUAAAGAUAAAGAUAAUAUGUUUGUAUCUACCAAAUUCCUCUUUGAAAUAUUGAGCACUGGUGAAAACAUGAGUUAUCACUGAUUUGUUGAAAUGUAUAUUAUUUUUUAUCAAGAAUUUUAUGCCUUAAGUUUUUGUGGAAGUUAAAAUUUCCCUAAUAAAAAUACUUGCAAAUGUCUUCAUAGGAAUAUUCUAUUUCAUGGAACUAUAAUGAUCCCAUUAUUAAAAUCCAAAAUGAAAACAUUAGUGACAGUCAGGAAACAGGGUCAAAGUCUACCCUCACUGCUUCUAUGUAUAUCAAUUAAUUGCAGUCAUGUGAAUGAAAAUAUUUGUUGUUAAAUUUAGGAGAGUUCUAAGCAAAUAUAGGUAAAGUUUUAAAUAUGUGUGGUAAAUAUCUUCCAAGUCUAUUGCAUUGCUAAGUUUCUCUGUUUUGGUUUUUUAGGGGUUUUUUUUGGUGGUUUUUUGGUUUUUUUGUUUGUUUGUUUGUUUUUAGUUUUUAAUAUGAUCACCUUAGGAAGAAAUGGCUUAGGUUCCCAUGUAUCUUCCAUAUAAACAAUUCACAGACUUGGACAUCCACGUGCAUACCUCCCAUCUGAAGAAAUCCAAAAGCUAAAAUAUAUAAUUAAACUUAAGGUUAAUUAAUAUAUUCAGUGAAGGUGUAUCAUCUGCCUAGUCAGUCUAGUCCACGCUGCAAAGAACUGAUCACAUCAUUAUUCUUUAUACCUCUUCCUUAUUAACCAUAUCCUAGAGGGCUCAUCCAUCCACACCAAAAACGGCACCCAUAUGUGGUCUCUUCAAAUUACCUUUCACUUUAAGUUCAUCGUCACCUCUUAGGUUCAUAGUAGAAGGACAUGUCUUGUGCUAAGCUCCAGCACUCUAUCUGCUACUUACUGAAGCUUAAGUUGGGUGGUGAUGAUGGAGAGGAUGAUAGAUGGAAAUAUGAUGGAGUUUUAGUACAUCUUUCCAGUCCCUAUUUUCUUACUUUCACAUCUCUUAUUCAAAUAAAGUAUUUAGAAGGACUAGCUGAAGAGAAAGAGAAACAUUUCAAAAUAAACCUUUAAUAGAUACUUUUAAGAGAAUAGGGAUAGGGAAGAAAGAAAAUAGGAUACAGUGACUUUGUAAUACCGUGCUAUACUUUAACCCUCACACCUUUUAUCUCUUUAUAGUGACCGCAGGGGGUAGACAGCAAGGUGGAGGAAAAUACCCACCAAAUUACAUUAAGGUGACCACAGUUAUUCAUGAUGAUCUAAAUUAAAAUUUCUACCAUGUAUCACUUUUUAAAAAAUGAGCGGCCUACAUUCUGACAGCAUGAUAGCUUUUCAAAAUAUUUAUUGUAGUUCUAAAUUAUUAAGUUAUUAACUAAAAUCAUUCAUCUGUAUACACAGUUGAGACAUUAUAUGUAGAAUUACCAAACCAACAAAUCUCUACUCCUUCCACCAAAGCAAAAUUGCUUAGAGCAAUGUAAUGACUGUUUUUAUUUCAGGGAACUUGAAUAAUAUAUCUCUACACCUUUAAAAAUCUUUGAAAAACAGGUUUUUGUUUGUUUUGUUUUGUUUUUUUAAUGGGAAGGAUUACCUACCGUCAAUAACAUUUAUGUAUUACAUUCUUUAAGGCUGUGUUAUUCCUGCAUUUAUUGUGAACAAAAUCCAACAUGUACAUCACAUGUGUGCACACACACUUAUGAGUGAUGGUAAAAUUACAUAUAAAAUAGUCUGUCCAGCUUCAGUGGAUUUUUGUGUGAUUUUAAUGACCUCUUUACAUUUUUCUAUAGCCUUCAAGUUUUCUACAAUAAGAAUAAUUAUUUAUUUUUGUUUUAUUCAAGCAAUCCAAAAAUCUGUUCCAAAAUUUUUCAAGAACAGAAAUACAAAGUAAAAAGUUGAAGUAUUUUUUCUUGAUGUCUUGACACAUCCCAUCCUCUUGACCUCUAACCCCAGUAACUCAUAUUUUCUGAAAUACAACUGAUGUUAAUUGUUUGCAAGACCCACCUAGACCUUAAUUUUCUGCUCUUAUAUACAAUGUGUAGAGGACUACAGUUUCGCUAUUCCUUAUUCAAUCUCUCAAGAUAGAGAAAAAAAUAAUCUUACCCCAGCUUCCUUGCAGACAGGGGUGUGAUGUCCUAUGCUCAAUGAAAUAGAAGGAGAAAUACUUCUUUUGGGGUUUUGGGAAACUUCCUAAAGUGUCAUAUUCCUCUCUACCCGCUUCUCUUUCCCUUUUUCCUGUCUGGAGCUGUCAAGGUGUUUGUGGGGAGGGAUGGUGGCAGCAGCAUCUUGCAAACACAGUGACAAGGGCCACAUCUUUUGAAAAGGAAAACAAGUAAACCAAAGACCAAGCAACCAACCAAACAAAAAACUAAAGAAAGCUGAACUCUUCUUGAUGUUGUUGUAACACUGAAUGGUAAGCUCUGUUUUUCUGUGUGACAGAAUAAUGAAUCAUAAGCCCCUUUCUUGCUUAACCGAAUGUUAUUUAUGUUUCCUAUUACAAGAGUUGAUCUGAAUUUCUAGUUAAAAAUAUAUAGGUACAUUUAAAACUAUAACUCUGUUUCUUAAUUUUAUAUGACAUCAUAAGGUAUUCUGUUUCAAAUUGUUUUUAUUCACUUAAUGACAUUUUUAAGGUAUUUUCAUUUUAGCACAUACAGGCAAAAAUUUUAUGUAGAUUAUUCAAUUGUAUUGAUGAAGCAUCAUUAAUUUAAUUUAGAUGCUUAGGUGGCAUCCAAUAUUUGGUUAUUGAAGUCAGUAUACAAAUAUAUAUCUUUGUAUAUGCAUGUGUAUUUCUUGAGGUAAAUGCAUAGAAGUAUAAUUUCUGAGUUCAAAGAUAAGUGUAUUUUGAAUACUGAUGAAUAUUUUGAGAACCUUAACUACAUUUUUCUCCCACCAUAUUGAGUGUCUUUUCCUCCACAGUCAAUGUUAUCACACGUAGGAAUCUUUUUGUCCAUUUUCAUGGAAUAAUAUGAAAUUAUAUUGUUUUUGUUUGCAUAUACAAGUUACUAUUGAGUUUUAGCAUAUAUUCACUUAUUUAUAGCCAUUUGUGUUUCUUAUCAAGUAAGUUGCUACAUGAACCAUAAAAACUACAUCCAUUGGGCUCUCCUUUUGUUGUUUUUAAGAAACUCUUUAUAUAAGAAAAAGAAGCUUUUAUUUGUGGCAUACAUAUUUGCCUAAUCUGUCUGUGGCAGAGACAGUCAUUCACUGGACUUUUUUUUGUAAAUGCUGAAAUAAAUUAGUACUUUAUUUAUACCUCUAUGUUUUGCUUCUUGUAUAUCACACAUUCCUCUCUUUUGUAUUUUUCACUUUGCUUCAGUGCAUUCCAGAUAAUUAUUUCAGAUAAAUAAAUUUAGAAGGAGAUACUUUUAUUGCACUCUUAUGUAAAUGAUUUUUUUCCCUUUUAUUUUAAUUUAACUUUAAUUACUCUGUUGUUUUCAGUUUUAAGGCAUUGUUCCAUAGGAUCUUGUCUUAUUUAGAGAUAUUAUCAUUCCUUAUCUCUUUGAUAGGAAGCCUGACUUUUAUUUCUAUUUUCCCCUUUCUUUGAAAGCUGUUAGUGACUUUAGAAGUUUCAGAGUUCCUGUCAUGGCUCAGUGGAAACGAAUCUGACUAGCAUCCAUGAAGACACAGGUUCAGUCCCUGACCUCAUGCAGUGGGUUAAAGAUCUGGCGUUGCCAUGAACUUAGUUGUAGGUUGCAUAGGUGGUUCAGAUAUGAUGUCACUGUGGCUAUAGUAUAGGCCGGCAGCUACAGCUCCAAUUUGACUCCUAGCCUGGGGACCUCAAUAUGCCGUGAGUGCG
Molecule: long non-coding RNA, 6565 nt
Filed under: Sus scrofa (pig)
Lineage: Eukaryota; Metazoa; Chordata; Mammalia; Artiodactyla; Suidae
Description: lncRNA (ENSSSCG00000060959.1)
Source: RNAcentral